GCGCUGCUAGGAUCCCCGCGCGACCCCGCGCCGCGGCCGGAGAGAGCCCCCGACCACCACCCGGCAGGCUCAGGCCGACCAAUGCGCGAGCGUGCCCGGCACGCGACGCGCGUGUCACCGAUGCCGCCGCCCGCGGGUGGCGAGGACCCCGAUGCCGACGCGGCGCCCUCCUGCAGCGGCUCCGCCGACGAAGGCGACACGCAGACGCAGGAGCGGUCGCUCCCCAACGGCGACAUCUACACGGGCCAGUGGCGCGGCGCCGUGCCCCACGGCGCCGGCAAGUACCUCUGGGCGGACGGGUGCAUGUACGAGGGCGAGUGGCGGCGGGGGAAGGCCACCGGCCGCGGCAAGUUCUCCUGGCCGUCCGGCGCCACCUACGAGGGCGAGUUCCUCGACGGCUUCAUGUACGGCGCCGGCACCUACGUCGGCGCCGCGGGGGACACCUACCGCGGCGCCUGGGCGAAGAACCUCGAGCACGGCGCCGGAGACAAGCGCUACGCCAACGGCGACCGCUACGACGGCGAGUGGCGCGCGGGGCUCCCCGACGGCUGCGGACGCUACGCCUGGCGCGACGGCACCGAGUACGCCGGCGGCUGGCGCGCGGGGCUCAUCCACGGCCGCGGCGCGCUCGUCUGGGCCAAUGGCAACCGCUACGACGGUGGCUGGGAGGGCGGCCGCCCGCGCGGCCAGGGCACGUUCCGCUGGGCCGACGGCAGUCUCUACGUCGGCUUCUGGGGCCGCGAGGCGCCCGGCGGCGCCGUCUACCAGAAGGGCGUGUACUACCCGUCCCCCGCGGCGGCGGGCGACUCCCCACGGGGGCGCGACCCGAGGGACGUCUUCGCGCGGGAGCUGCCGGAGUGCGUGCGCUCCGGCACCGGGGCCCAAUCGGCGCUUGCGUCUCUGAGAUCGCUCAAAUGGCUGAUGCGGUCGGUCAGCGGACGCGGGAGCUCCUCCUCCGGGCGGAGCAAUGGCUCGGGAGGCAGCCUCGUGCACUUCUGGGGGUCCGAUGGAGAUGUCAAGUGUGACCUUGGGGACGACUGGAGGCGCUGGAGUGUCAGGGAAGGGAGGGGGCUGCCACCGCCAUCACCAGCCCCAGCGCCGCACCUGGCCAACAUCGCGCCCCUGCGGGUGUUGAAGCGGCAGGGGGCGACCAUUGCCAAGGGGCACAAGAACUACGAGCUAAUGCUCAACCUGCAGCUCGGGAUCAGGCAUGCAGUAGGAAGACAAGGUCAAGCUAUAUUAGACCUCAAAUCAUCAGCAUUUGAUCCAAAGGAGAAAGUGUGGACAAAAUUCCCUCCUGAAGGCUCAAAAUAUACCCCUCCACACAAUUCGUGUGAUUUCAAAUGGAAGGAUUACUGCCCAAAGGUGUUCCGUACUCUUCGUAAGCUGUUCAAGGUUGACCCAGCUGACUAUAUGCUGUCCCUCUGUGGAGAUGAUGCUCUUCGGGAGCUUUCAUCCCCUGGCAAGAGUGGAAGCUUCUUUUACUUGACGAAUGAUGAUCGCUACAUGAUAAAGACAAUGAAGAAAGCUGAAGUGAAGGUAUAUCUUUUGCUGUCUUUUUCCAAACUCUUUCUAAGCUUCUUAAAUUGGCAAAAUUUUGUUCUAAAUAUAUGGAUUACCUAUUACCAUACAGAUGCUUCUGAAGAUGCUUCCAGCUUACUACAAUCAUGUCCGUGCAUUUGAGGAUACCUUGGUGACAAAGUUCUUUGGUCUACAUUGUGUAAAGUCUGGAGUACAGCAGAAGAAGGUUCGUUUUGUCAUAAUGGGAAAUUUGUUCUGCUCUGAUCAUACUAUCCAUAGGCGAUUUGAUCUAAAAGGAUCAUCUCUUGGCCGUAUAACUGACAAGACACCGGCUGAGAUUGAUGAGUAUACAACUCUGAAGGACCUUGAUCUUAACUUUAUCUUUCGAUUACAGAAACAAUGGUACCAAGAGUUUCAAAGGCAAGUGGAUAAGGACUGUGAGUUCCUUGAGCAGGAGAAGAUUAUGGAUUACAGUCUAUUGGUGGGUGUACAUUUUAGAGGUGCCGUUGACGUUGAUGGUGAAAAACUUGCUACACCUCGCCUUUCAAGAUGGGAUAGGGAUCAUUUUCGUUCUGAUCCAAACAGGUGGUCGAAAAUUAAACUUGGGGCAAACAUGCUGUCAAGGGCUGAACUGACAACCCGAAAGAAUGAUGGUGAUAUUUUUGGAGAGCCAACUGGGGAGUACUGUGAUGUUAUAUUGUAUUUCGGGAUUAUUGAUAUACUUCAGGACUAUGAUAUUGGCAAAAGGCUAGAGCAUGCUUACAAAUCUUUUCAGUAUGAUUCAACAUCCAUCUCAGCGGUUGGUCCAAAACAGUAUUCCAAGCGCUUCAAAGAUUUCAUAUACAAAGCAUUUCAAGAGGAUAAAGUAGACAGCUGGAGUUCAGCAGUUUCCUUAGAAGGCACCAAGGCCAUAGUUGCUGGAGCUUCUAGUGAUCCGGUUUUGCGGGGCCGCGGGUCUGGAUGGGGACAACACGUGCGGCAUUGCGGAGAGGAGGUGCGAGGGUCACGCGGGAGGAGGACGAGGACGACGACGAGGGGGCUCGCCGCGACGGUGAGGGUGGAGGACGCCGGCGAUGGGAGGGGGCUGCCGCCGCCGUCGCCGGCGACGGGGCCCUACGCCGGCGGCAGGUCGCGAGGCCCGCGGCGGCAGGGAGAGACCAUCGCCAAGGGGCACAAGAACUACGAGCUCAUGCUCAACCUGCAGCUCGGCAUCAGGCACGCAGUAGGAAAGCAAGGUCCAAUUACACUUGAUCUUAAAUCAUCAGCUUUUGACCCAAAGGAGAAAGUAUGGACAAGGUUCCCUCCGGAGGGCUCAAAGUACACCCCUCCACACAGUUCUUGUGAUUUCAAAUGGAAGGAUUACUGCCCACAAGUAUUCCGGACAUUGCGCAAGUUGUUCAAGGUUGAUGCCGCAGACUACAUGUUAUCCCUUUGUGGAGACCAGGCUCUCCGGGAGCUUUCAUCACCUGGUAAAAGUGGAAGCUUCUUUUAUCUUACGAGCAACGACCAGUACAUGAUAAAGACAAUGAAGAAAUCUGAAGUAAAGAUAUUUCUGAAGAUGCUUCGAGCUUAUUAUAAUCAUGUCAGGGCAUUUGAGAACACUCUAGUCACAAAGUUUUUCGGUCUUCACUGUGUCAAAUUAGCUGGAGCGAACCAAAAGAAGGUUCGUUUUGUCAUAAUGGGGAAUCUGUUCUGCUCUGAUUACCCCAUUCAUAGGAGAUUUGACCUGAAAGGUUCAUCUCUUGGACGUACAACUGACAAACCACAAACAGAGAUUGAUGAGUACACUACUCUGAAGGAUCUUGAUCUCAACUUUAUAUUUCGACUGCAAAAACAUUGGUGCCAGGAGUUCCAAAGGCAAGUUGACAGGGACUGCGAGUUUCUCGAGCAGGAAAAUAUCAUGGACUAUAGUCUCUUGGUUGGUGUACAUUUUAGGGAUACUAGGGAUAGGCUAUUGACUGGAGGUUCAUUUGAUAGUGACAGCAGCAGAGGAUCAUCGCCUCACUUGUCUAGAGGAGAUACGGAUCCAAACAGGUUCGCCAAGAUAAAACUUGGGUCAAACAUGCCAAUAAGAGCUGAACGGACAAUAAGAAAGAGUGACAUUGAACCACAGAUUAUUGGCGAGCCUACAGGAGAGUUCUAUGACGUUGUAUUAUAUUUCGGGAUCAUAGACAUACUUCAAGAUUACGAUAUCAGCAAAAAGCUUGAGCAUGCAUACAAGUCUUUCCAAUAUGACCCAACAUCCAUUUCAGCAGUCGAUCCAAAACAGUACUCGAGACGCUUCAGAGACUUCGUAUUCAAAGCGUUCCAGGAAGAGAAGUUUGACUUGUGAAAAAACACAUGGAAGCUCAGGAGCCAGCGUUGCUGCUGACAUGGAUACCACCAGUGUUGAAAUGUAGAAACAUGGCGCUGCUCGCAUUGUGGCAGAGCUUUUGGUGACCUUGCUUGCUACUUCCACACCAGACUGCAGCGCACGACAGAAGCUUCAGUAGAAGGCAUCAGGUUGGUGAAGCCCCUGACUGCGGACUCCUGAGGGAUUCAGCUGGCUCUGAUGUAGGAAUAAGGCUCCAACUCGAGAUAUCGGUGCAUUUCAAUAAGCAGGUUCAACAGUUUUUUUUCAUAAAAAGAGUUGCCUGGCAAACUGCUGUUCGCUCAGCUGCAUUUCUACAGCUGCUAUUUACACUGCACUGUAAUGCCAAGCUACGCCUAAAACAAGUACCCGUGCAUAUAGAAAUCACUGAUAUUAGUGUAGACGCUGACAACCUACAGAGAAAUUUGUAAUGACAGUUCAGGGAUGUAAAUCUUUUUUACAUGAGGCGACAGGUCACAGUUCUUCUGCUUA
RNA transcript from Panicum virgatum (switchgrass), 4363 nucleotides. It is a transcript of the gene named phosphatidylinositol 4-phosphate 5-kinase 6-like, with no coding region annotated. NCBI's taxonomy places the organism in Eukaryota, Viridiplantae, Streptophyta, Magnoliopsida, Poales, Poaceae. The transcript is spliced from 16 exons. The record is from RefSeq and is a predicted model, not a curated record.